This 858-nucleotide ribosomal RNA is filed under the name uncultured bacterium. Its description in RNAcentral is "bacterial SSU rRNA". It matches the Rfam family "Bacterial small subunit ribosomal RNA", at positions 51 to 908 of the family's 1533-position model. The record is from RNAcentral.
ACACAUGCAAGUCGAACGAGAAUCUGUGGAUCGAGGAUUCGUCCAAGUGAAGCAGAGGACAGUGGCGGACGGGUGAGUAACGCGUGAGGAACCUGCCUUUCAGAGGGGGACAACAGUUGGAAACGACUGCUAAUACCGCAUGAUACAUUUGGGUGGCAUCAUCUGAAUGUCAAAGAUUUAUCGCUGAAAGAUGGCCUCGCGUCUGAUUAGCUGGUUGGUGAGGUAACGGCCCACCAAGGCGACGAUCAGUAGCCGGACUGAGAGGUUGACCGGCCACAUUGGGACUGAGAUACGGCCCAGACUCCUACGGGAGGCAGCAGUGGGGAAUAUUGGGCAAUGGGCGCAAGCCUGACCCAGCAACGCCGCGUGAAGGAAGAAGGCUUUCGGGUUGUAAACUUCUUUUAAGAGGGAAGAGCAGAAGACUGUACCUCUAGAAUAAGCCACGGCUAACUACGUGCCAGCAGCCGCGGUAAUACGUAGGUGGCAAGCGUUGUCCGGAUUUACUGGGUGUAAAGGGCGUGCAGCCGGGAAUGCAAGUCAGAUGUGAAAUCCAUGGGCUUAACCCAUGAACUGCAUUUGAAACUGUAUUUCUUGAGUACUGGAGAGGCAAUCGGAAUUCCUAGUGUAGCGGUGAAAUGCGUAGAUAUUAGGAGGAACACCAGUGGCGAAGGCGGAUUGCUGGACAGCAACUGACGGUGAGGCGCGAAAGUGUGGGGAGCAAACAGGAUUAGAUACCCUGGUAGUCCACACUGUAAACGAUGAAUACUAGGUGUGCGGGGACUGACCCCCUGCGUGCCGCAGUUAACACAAUAAGUAUUCCACCUGGGGAGUACGAUCGCAAGGUUGAAACUCAAAGGA